RNAcentral lists this ribosomal RNA (337 nucleotides) under uncultured bacterium. RNAcentral's name for it is "bacterial SSU rRNA". It matches the Rfam family "Bacterial small subunit ribosomal RNA", at positions 568 to 898 of the family's 1533-position model. The record is from RNAcentral.
CGCGUAGACGGUUUUGUAAGUCAGAUGUGAAAUCCCCGGGCCUCAACCUGGGGAACUGCAUUUGAAACUGCAUGGCUAGAGUAUGGUAGGAGGGAAGUGGAAUUUCCGGUGUAGCGGUGAAAUGCGUAGAUAUCGGAAGGAACACCAGUGGCGAAAGCGACUUCCUCGGACCAAUACUGACGUUCAUGUGCGAAAGCGUGGGGAGCGAAACAGGAUUAGAUACCCUGGUACGUCCACGCCAUAAACGAUGACAACUAGAUGUUGGGAGGGUCUGCCUCCCGGUGUCGCAGCUAACGCGUUAAGUUGUCCGCCUGGGGAGUACGGCCGCAAGGUUGAA